UUGAUGAUACAAAAUGGCGUCGGUUAAAAAAACAAUGCCGGUAUUUUUGCCUUAAAGUAAACAAUUGCAGUAAAGUUCAAUAAGUAAAUAAUAAUUCCUUCAAUUCUGAAAUUCUCGAACGGCGUAAAUUAUGGAUAAAACGGGACUCUUCUUUCUAAAGAUACAUACACAAAAAAUUAAAUUUACAUGCACCAGAAAGAUAAGACAGUAUGUGUCAUCAACUAUAUUUGGGCAAUAAACCAGUAUACAUAUUUUAUAUGAACAA
This is a long non-coding RNA of Achroia grisella, 265 nucleotides long. RefSeq lists it as uncharacterized. The transcript has 3 exons. NCBI's taxonomy places the organism in Eukaryota, Metazoa, Arthropoda, Insecta, Lepidoptera, Pyralidae. The record is from RefSeq and is a predicted model, not a curated record.